AGGGGAUGGUAGCACACAUCUGUGACCCCAGCUACCAAAGGGGUUAAGGCUAGUAGAUCUCUUGUGCUCAGGAGUUCUGAGUUGCAUCUGGCUAAGCCAAAUGGGAGUCUAUUCUAAGUCUGGCAUUAAUAUGGUGACUCUCCAUGAGAGGGGCCACUAGGUUGCCUAAGGAGAAGCAAACCAGCCCAGGUCAGAAACCGAACAGGUCAAAGCUUCCGUGUCUACAGAGAAAGGCUGGACUUGAGAGCAGCCCUAGCACUUUCAGCCUGGGCAAGACAGGGAGAACUAGUCUUU
This 294-nucleotide signal recognition particle RNA is filed under the name Phascolarctos cinereus (koala). RNAcentral describes it as "Metazoan signal recognition particle RNA (ENSPCIG00000000638.2)". It matches the Rfam family "Metazoan signal recognition particle RNA". Rfam says of the family: The signal recognition particle (SRP) is a universally conserved ribonucleoprotein. It is involved in the co-translational targeting of proteins to membranes. The eukaryotic SRP consists of a 300-nucleotide 7S RNA and six proteins: SRPs 72, 68, 54, 19, 14, and 9. Lineage: Eukaryota; Metazoa; Chordata; Mammalia; Diprotodontia; Phascolarctidae. The record is from RNAcentral.